AACUUGAGCAUGUCUGGUGUUACCUGAUUUUAUGUUACCAUUAUCAGUUUAUUUGGAAAUGAUAGAAGCAAGCUUUUGAAAUGAGCAACUUGCACGUGUCUCGCGUUACUCAUUCAUUAACGGUUUUCUUUUUCGUUAGACCGCGGAGCAGUACAGGACUUAGGCCUUCUCCCAAGGUGGGGCUCACGGCGAUGUAGGAGGAGGGUAAGGAAGCGAGGAGAUGAUGGUGGGGGCUGAUGGUACAGCGCAGAUGGCUGCUGUGACUACGCCUCAACGGCUGACCUGGAUGCCUUCAAGGUGCGACGUGACAAGCAGCUCUCUAUCUCCCUCCCGCUCCACCAUAUCCCAUCUUUAGGAAACCUCGGAAGCACGCAUACGGCUGUCGCACCAGUGGCACCCAGGGUAACACCGCUGCGCGACGCGUGGCCCCUUUCCCUGAGUUCCCGGGAAGGUCUCAUCCUGGGGAGCGCCAACGAGCUUCUCGGCAAGCUAUCAGCCCGCAAGGGGCUUCCCGGGAGGAGGUUCCCAGACGCGCUGGGCCCGGGUGCUUCCCGCGCUGAAUGCGGGGACUGGGGGUUCCCGGACGCGUGCCCCCGCCUCGGGUCGUGGGGCCCACUGGACAGCGCCACACGGGCGCUUGGCGGGCACGGAACGCGCAGUCCCACCAAGGCAAGGAGUAAGGCGCGCGGCUCAGUAAACGAGCCGACCGACGGGUAGUUAUCCGUCCGAUCCAAGGAACAGUGGUUGUCCAAUCUUACGCUAGAGUAUUAGGCCCUAGCA
This is a long non-coding RNA of Brachypodium distachyon (stiff brome), 780 nucleotides long. RefSeq lists it as uncharacterized. NCBI's taxonomy places the organism in Eukaryota, Viridiplantae, Streptophyta, Magnoliopsida, Poales, Poaceae. The record is from RefSeq and is a predicted model, not a curated record. The transcript has 3 exons.